Molecule: ribosomal RNA, 566 nt
Filed under: uncultured bacterium
Lineage: Bacteria
Description: partial 16S ribosomal RNA
Rfam family: Bacterial small subunit ribosomal RNA
Source: RNAcentral
UGGGGAAUUUUGGACAAUGGGGGAAACCCUGAUCCAGCCAUCCCGCGUGUGCGAUGAAGGCCUUCGGGUUGUAAAGCACUUUUGGCAGGAAAGAAACGUCGCGGGUUAAUACCCCGCGAAACUGACGGUACCUGCAGAAUAAGCACCGGCUAACUACGUGCCAGCAGCCGCGGUAAUACGUAGGGUGCAAGCGUUAAUCGGAAUUACUGGGCGUAAAGCGUGCGCAGGCGGUUCGGAAAGAAAGAUGUGAAAUCCCAGAGCUUAACUUUGGAACUGCAUUUUUAACUACCGGGCUAGAGUGUGUCAGAGGGAGGUGGAAUUCCGCGUGUAGCAGUGAAAUGCGUAGAUAUGCGGAGGAACACCGAUGGCGAAGGCAGCCUCCUGGGAUAACACUGACGCUCAUGCACGAAAGCGUGGGGAGCAAACAGGAUUAGAUACCCUGGUAGUCCACGCCCUAAACGAUGUCAACUAGCUGUUGGGGGCCUUCGGGCCUUGGUAGCGCAGCUAACGCGCGAAGUUGACCGCCUGGGGAGUACGGUCGCAAGAUUAAAAACUUAAAUGAAUUG